GUCCACGCUGUAAACGAUGUGUGCUAGACGUUGGGGAGCCUAGCUCUUCGGUGUCGCAGCUAACUCGGUAAGCACACCGCCUGGGGAGUACGGCCGCAAGGUUAAAACUCAAAGGAAUUGACGGGGGCCCGCACAAGCGGUGGAGCAUGUGGUUUAAUUCGACGCAACGCGAAGAACCUUACCAGCCCUUGACAUGUCCGGUAUGGGCCCGAGAGAUCGGACCCUUCAGUUCGGCUGGCCGGAGCACAGGUGCUGCAUGGCUGUCGU
This 267-nucleotide ribosomal RNA is filed under the name uncultured bacterium. RNAcentral describes it as "partial 16S ribosomal RNA". It matches the Rfam family "Bacterial small subunit ribosomal RNA", at positions 793 to 1055 of the family's 1533-position model. The record is from RNAcentral.